Molecule: ribosomal RNA, 424 nt
Filed under: uncultured Wolbachia sp.
Lineage: Bacteria; Pseudomonadati; Pseudomonadota; Alphaproteobacteria; Rickettsiales; Anaplasmataceae
Description: bacterial SSU rRNA
Rfam family: Bacterial small subunit ribosomal RNA
Source: RNAcentral
GCUGUCGUCAGCUCGUGUCGUGAGAUGUUGGGUUAAGUCCCGCAACGAGCGCAACCCUCAUCCUUAGUUGCCAUCAGGUAAUGCUGAGUACUUUAAGGAAACUGCCAGUGAUAAGCUGGAGGAAGGUGGGGAUGAUGUCAAGUCAUCAUGGCCUUUAUGGAGUGGGCUACACACGUGCUACAAUGGUGUCUACAAUGGGCUGCAAGGUGCGCAAGCCUAAGCUAAUCCCUAAAAGACAUCUCAGUUCGGAUUGUACUCUGCAACUCGAGUACAUGAAGUUGGAAUCGCUAGUAAUCGUGGAUCAGCAUGCCACGGUGAAUACGUUCUCGGGUCUUGUACACACUGCCCGUCACGCCAUGGGAAUUGAUUUCACUCGAAGCUAUCGGGUCUUGUACACACUGCCCGUCACGCCAUGGGGAAUUAA